UACGUAGGGUCCGAGCGUUGUCCGGAGUGACUGGGCGUAAAGCGCGCGCAGGCGGCCUGUUAGGCGCGACGUGAAAGCCCCGGGCUCAACCCGGGAGGGUCGUCGCGAACCGGCGGGCUUGAGGCCGGUAGAGGUGGGUGGAAUUCCUGGUGGAGUGGUGAAAUGCGUAGAGAUCAGGAAGAACACCCGUGGCGAAGGCGGCCCACUGGGCCGGUGCUGACGCUGAGGCGCGAAGGCGUGGGGAGCGAACGGG
This 253-nucleotide ribosomal RNA is filed under the name uncultured bacterium. RNAcentral describes it as "partial 16S ribosomal RNA". It matches the Rfam family "Bacterial small subunit ribosomal RNA", at positions 524 to 776 of the family's 1533-position model. The record is from RNAcentral.